RNAcentral lists this ribosomal RNA (496 nucleotides) under uncultured bacterium. RNAcentral describes it as "partial 16S ribosomal RNA". It matches the Rfam family "Bacterial small subunit ribosomal RNA", at positions 29 to 507 of the family's 1533-position model. The record is from RNAcentral.
AUGAACGCUGGCGGCGUGCCUAAUACAUGCCAGUCGAGCGAACGGACGAGAAGCUUGCUUUUCUGAUGUUAGCGGCGGACGGGUGAGUAACACGUGGAUAACCUACCUAUAAGACUGGGAUAACUUCGGGAAACCGGAGCUAAUACCGGAUAAUAUUUUGAACCGCAUGGUUCAAAAGUGAAAGACGGUCUUGCUGUCACUUAUAGAUGGAUCCGCGCUGCAUUAGCUAGUUGGUAAGGUAACGGCUUACCAAGGCAACGAUGCAUAGCCGACCUGAGAGGGUGAUCGGCCACACUGGAACUGAGACACGGUCCAGACUCCUACGGGAGGCAGCAGUAGGGAAUCUUCCGCAAUGGGCGAAAGCCUGACGGAGCAACGCCGCAUGAGUGAUGAAGGUCUUCGGAUCGUAAAACUCUGUUAUUAGGGAAGAACAUAUGUGUAAGUAACUGUGCACAUCUUGACGGUACCUAAUCAGAAAGCCACGGCUAACUACGUG